Molecule: long non-coding RNA, 1022 nt
Filed under: Numida meleagris (helmeted guineafowl)
Lineage: Eukaryota; Metazoa; Chordata; Aves; Galliformes; Numididae
Description: lncRNA (ENSNMEG00000016006.1)
Source: RNAcentral
CGUUCUCCACCAAAAUAUCUUAGGGUGAUAUCUAGAGGCUGUCUAUUGCCUGCAGGACAAAUUUAGGUGCCUGAUGGUAUCAGCUGGGUAACUGCUUUCUUCUGUGCCACCAUCUUGACCAUCUAUCAGGAGAGCACAAAGGGAAGAAGGGCUAUCCGAAGAGAUUGCCUCAGAUGCCACCAUCCCAGCCCCUUGCCAGUGAGUUUACAGUGAAGCUGAGAUUCUACACUACCCAUGUCAGCUGUGUACAGCAGAACAGCAGCAGUGUGAAAGGAGAAAAAGUGGACUAUUCCUGCUUUACAAGAUGGUUUUACAUUUUUGUGUUAAAAGAGUGGAAGAUAUUGCUUCUUGUUUCUUCAAGAUUUUGUAAAGAAGCAGCCAAGUGUAAUGAAAUGUCAUGUCACUGGUAACACAAACCAGUUGAGCCAUGCAGUGCUUUCAAGUAAGAUGAAGAGGUCUGCAAUGGAAAGACUGAAAAUUGGUGAGUGUAUGCUUGGACAAGUGGUAUUCACACCUGUGAUGGUAUUCUGGCCAUCUCCGAGACAAAUGUCAGUUUUUUGGACUCUCUCCUUCUCUCUUUUCCAACCACAGCCCCCAGUGGGCUUAGAUGUCCCAUCCUAAGCUUGCUGACUCCAACUUUUCUCCGCAGCAUGGAACUGAGUGAGCCCAGCACCAGGCUGCCCAGCAGCGACCAGUGAGUGCUCACCCUGCAGGGCUGCCCCCACACUGAACCCCAGCAUUUUGCUGGGUGCAGCCACCAUCAGCACUCGGGGCUGUAUCUGUGCUCAUGCAUUGCAGGAAGGAUUUUGCAUGUGAGUGCCCACAGUCUCUUCACACUUUGCUUCAGACUUCACAACCGACAUGGGACUUACAAUGAUAACCAGGAUGCUCUGCCUUACUGCUUAAAUACCCUCAUGAAUAUACUCCAACCUGAUCUACAGUUCAAAUGAAUUCAAUAAGGCAGAGGAGGAUUUAAAGACAUUUUAAAUAAAUUAACUUCUGGAUGGAUGUUUAUUAAGUUU